Molecule: ribosomal RNA, 699 nt
Filed under: Triticum aestivum (bread wheat)
Lineage: Eukaryota; Viridiplantae; Streptophyta; Magnoliopsida; Poales; Poaceae
Description: partial small subunit ribosomal RNA
Source: RNAcentral
AUGGAUAGGUGUAUUACAGAUUGUGGGGUUGUGGAUGUGUAUGUGAAUUAUGAAGAUGAUGUUGAUGAAGAUGGACAGAACAGUGUGUCUGAUAUUGGAGAGAAAGAGGAAGAGGAAACUAAUGCUGCAAUUGAAGAAGAGAAGACAGAAGAGAAGAGUGACAGUGAUUGGGAAGAUGAGCAUGACAAUUGCUCUGCUGAGGAUGACCUGGAGCACAGUUCAGAGGAAGAUGGGGAUGAGCCUGAUAAGACUGAGUAUGCUGUACAGGAUGAAUUGCAACCUGAAACUGGAAAUGUUCCUUCAGUAGAUGUUGCACCAGAUGAAAUAAGUGAUGAAUGUGAAGAUCUUGAUUGGUGCCCUAAAGAUGAAGACAGUUCAGGUGAAGAUGAUGAGGCAGAGGAGCUCAGAACGCAUGCUAAGGAAGUGCUCAGAAAGAUCAGAAUGAAGUUGCCACUUGAUGAAGAGAAGGAAGUGAAAGAAAGUACAGCACAGUUAAUUCCUUUUGAUGAAAUGGAUGAAGGAAAUGACACUCCAUACAUGGAUUCCAGUGAGGAAUACAGUUAUGAUGAGGAUGAGCAUGGAAAUUCAGUUAGGAUGAAAUCUAGAUUUCCAAGAUUUGAUAGCAAGGCUGCAAUUCCAAUAUUUAGUUUGGGCAUGACAUUUAGGGGAAGAAGUCAGUUCAAGAGGGCACUGGUGUAG